ACAACGGAGAGUUUGAUCCUGGCUCAGGAUGAACGCUAGCGGCAGGCUUAACACAUGCAAGU
This 62-nucleotide ribosomal RNA is filed under the name Muribaculaceae bacterium. RNAcentral's name for it is "partial 16S ribosomal RNA". It matches the Rfam family "Bacterial small subunit ribosomal RNA", at positions 1 to 62 of the family's 1533-position model. The record is from RNAcentral. Lineage: Bacteria; Pseudomonadati; Bacteroidota; Bacteroidia; Bacteroidales; Muribaculaceae.